This 8356-nucleotide long non-coding RNA is filed under the name Theobroma cacao (cacao). RNAcentral's name for it is "long non-coding RNA (TCAC_LNC002529)". Lineage: Eukaryota; Viridiplantae; Streptophyta; Magnoliopsida; Malvales; Malvaceae. The record is from RNAcentral.
AACAUCUAGAGUUGAGUACAUAGAGACAAUAAAGUAAAUCAUCAUAAAUUGGGUUAUACAAUUAGAACACAUCUCGUUCAAAAUACGUAAAAAGGCUUAUGAAUCUCAUAAACAUUUAGGCUUGUGCCAUAAAUCCAUUCUCGGGGACACCUUGGCUGAGGCAUCCUACCGAGACCGCCAAGGCUAUUAAAAUUCACAUUUCACAUAAAUCAUGUUUUUGUUUUGAAAACAUAACCAUUCCUUGGCGUUGGCUGAGUUCUCCCUCACGUGGUGGUUUAGCGUGAAGUGAACCCUAAACUUUACCCCAGGAGAUACCCUACGUGCUUCUCCGUUCGAGGUAAGAAUAUAAUGGGGUUUACCGUGCCCCUCUAAAAGGCUGGUCCACAGAAACCCCCUACUGUAGUGAUUAAUUAAUAUAUAAUCCACCGUAUAAUAAAACUCAAUAACAUGAUUAUGGCAAUUUUGAAAUUCGCAAUUUUUCAAGGAACCAAACAAUUCGCAUUUCAAUACAAUUGCCAACUAGCCAAUCAUGCUCGAUUUAUCAUAAGCCAGUUAAUUUAAACAAUCAAAUUGCCACAAUUAACAGUCUCCGUGUACUCUAUUUUUCAAAAUCACUAUUAAUUUCAAAACAAUUUAUAAUUUAAUUUCAUUGAAACUCAUUUAUUCAUAAAACAUGAAAAUUUAUCUUUUUAAAUUCCUUUUUCCAUAGAAUUCAUGAAAGCAUCUAAAAACCACCCUAGAUAAUUAAAAUGACAGUAAGUUUACUCACAAUGUCUAGAAUGCAGACUUUCGAAGCACUCUGUCUACUGGUCCUCGGAUGCAAUUUCCUUGCCUUUAUCGGAGGACUCACCACCUUGACACAGUACAAAAUCGAGAGUUUCACCAAGUUGGUACUAAAUCAAAAUUAAACUAAUUUAGACUACCAAUGCAUGAUAUGGAAUGCAAAAAUGCACUGGUAACUAUCUAAACCCGGUAUUGGCCUAAUUCGUCUUAUCACCCGAUUAAAUUCCUAACGGGUCCGUUUAAACUCCAAUUUAAUUCUUUUCAGUUUCUAUACCUCAAUUGCACCCAAAUUAACUUAAUGUCCCUCAGUGUGGUGCAAAUUAUCAGUCCCAACAGCAAAUUACGAAAAUACCCCUAGUGGGUAAAAAUUUGUAUUUUUGCUCCGAAAAUUCCCAUUAUUUUUCUAGGCUCAUAAUUCAUUAUUCCUUAACCAAUUCUCCUAGAAUAAAAUCAAACUCAUCCUCACUCACUACAUGGUAAAUUCAGCCAUUAAUGGUUGGGGGAGAAAAUAAAUUCUUUUCUUGUUGUUUUGUUUCUAAAUAUGCUAAACUAACUAAAAACACUAACAUAAAUUAAAAUCAAAUAAAUCCAACAACUUUCUCUCUCCUAACCCAUUUUUUCAGAAUUGAAUUCAUCAUGAAAACAUGUAAUUUAAUCAUGGAAAAUAAAGAGAAAUGCUUGGGAAUAAGAAAACUCAAGCUUAAUAGAAAAAAUCUCACCUUUUUCACUUAAUUUCCUUGAAAAUUCACACUUUUUCUUUGAUUUUCUCUCUCUAGGGUUUUGUUUUUGUUUUCUCUCUCUUCUUGCUGGUUUGGCCGGCCAUGGGGUGGAAGAUGAGCUGAUUUUUGUGCCUUUUAAAAAGGAAAAUAAUAAAUUAAUAAAGGCAUGACACGUGGCAUCAUGACAUUGGUCCGUUUUUAAAAUUUUAAAAAUUUAAACAUGUUAUCUCCACCACAUGAUUAGUCAAGGGUCAAAGAUGAAGAUAAAGGAAGACCAUGUGCUGGAAAAUAUCCUGGUGGUGGAAAAUUACAAUUUUACCCCUGAGGUCGUAAAAUUACCAUUUUACCCUUUUACUCCAAAUUAUACCGAAAUUAAAAUUUUUCACUUCUAAACCUCAAAUUAUACUCCAAUAAGUCAAAUGGGGUCAAAAAAAUCUUUUUUAAAAUUCUCAUUUUGUCCCCAAGUGGCAAAUGACCAUUUUACCCCUGGUUAGUGAAAAUUCCGAUUUGACUCCAAAUUGAUCCUCAAACUCCAAAUUACCAUUUUAAGUCAUCCAUGAGUUGUGAAACUCUUAAUCUCACCUUAAAAUUCCUAUUUGAUCUAGUUCGAUGAUUAAAUAAACUUUGUUGUACUUGUAGGUACAACACUGACUUUUGUAAAUUUUUUUCGGGACUCUCCUAGCAUGCAAUCAUGCUAUCAUCACAUGUAUGUCAUGAAUAGUAUUUUAUAAGGUCGGGCUUUACAGCACUACCCCCUUUAAAAUAAAAUUUUGACCUCAAAAUUUUACUUACCGGAUUCGAAGAAAAGAUGUGAAUAUUGGUUUCUCAUAUGGCUCUCGACUUCCCACGUCAUCUCCUCCAUUCGAGCAUUCUUCCACAAUACUUUCACCAUUGGAAUGCUCUUGUUCCUUAGCACUCGAUCCUUUCGAUCUAGAAUACGUACAGGCUGCACCUCGAACUUCAAAUCCUCAUGCAACUCAAUGGGAGGUGUCUCUAAAAUGUGAGAGGGAUCGGGAACAUACUUUUUGAACAUGGAGACAUGGAAGACAUUAUGAAUCCGAUCUAACUUUGGGGGUAAUUCAAGUCUGUAAGCCACUGGCCUAAUCCUUUCAAUGAUACGAAAAGGUCCAAUGUAUCUUGGAUUGAGCUUUCCCCUCUUCGCGAAUCAAAUCACACCUUUCAUCAUCCAAUAAAUACCACAAAUUAUCACAAUAGUAUAAUCAAAUAAGAUUUAAUACUCGAAAUUUUCAAAUUAUUACCUUUCCAAGGAGAAACCUUAAGGAAAACUUUAUCGUCAACUUCAAACUUCAAAUCUUUCCUUCGUUUAUCCGAAUAAUUCUUUUGCCUAUCUUGAGUUGUCUUUAAUCGCUUUCGGAUAACUUUGACCUUAUCGUUUGUCAAAUCAAUCAAUUCCACAUUCACCAAUUUCCUCUCACCUACUUCAUCCCAACAGAUCGGAGUUCGGCAUUUCCUUCCAUACAAAGCCUCGUAUGGUGCCAUCCCAAUACUAGACUGAAAACUGUUAUUAUAAGCAAACUCCACUAAUGGCAAGUGUCUGUCCUAACUCCCGAUAAAGUCAAUGACACAAGCCCGUAACAUAUCCUCUAAUGUCUAAAUAGUUCUCUCAGAUUGACCAUCUGUUUGUGGAUGAAAGGCAGUACUAAAUCUCAAUUUAGUUCCAAGAGCUUCCUGAAAUUUCGGCCAAAAUCGAGAAGUAAAUCGAGGGUCUCGAUCUGACACAAUAGAAACCGGAACUCCAUGUAAUCUCACAACCUCAUCUAUAUAAAGUCUUGCCAGCCUCUCAAUAGAAUAUGUGCUAUGGAUAGCCAAGAAAUGGGCGGACUUAGUCAAUCUAUCCACAAUCACCCAAAUAGCAUCCUUCCCACUUUGUGUCCGCGGUAAAUCCAAUACAAAGUCCAUAGUCACGUGUUCCCACUUCCAUUCAGGAAUUGGUAAAGGCUGAAGAGUACUGACGGUUUUUGAUGCUUCGCCUUGAUCAGUUGGCAUGUGAGACAUUUCGCUACAAACUCUGCUAUGUCUCGUUUCAUACUCGACCACCAAUAACUUUCUUUAAUAGUCCGAUACAUCUUGGUGCUUCCGGGAUGUAAAGCGUAGGCGGAAGAAUGAGCUUCCUCCAAAAUAGCUCGUCUCAAUUGAUCAUCCUUAGGGACACAAAUUCGGUCUCUAAGUAUCAAAGUACCAUCAUCCCUGAGUCUAAACUCACUAGCUUCUCUAUCUUGCAACUUUUGAACUUUCUGCUUCAACCAAUCAUCAGAUUUCUGCAAUUCUCUUAUCUGAUUCAACAAUGAAGGUCUCACGACGAAACUAGCAAGUAGGGUUCCAUCCUCACCAUUAUUCAACUAGAUCCCUAGAGAUUUCAUCUCAAGUAACAUCGGAAAAUAAGAACUUUGAAGUGUUGCUAACGACGAUGAGGAUUUACGACUUAAGGCAUCCGCUACAACAUUUGCUUUUCCCGGAUGAUAAUCAAUCACUAAGUCAUAAUCCUUAAUCAACUCCAACCAUCGUCUCUGUCUCAAGUUAAGCUCUUUCUAGGUGAGCAAAUACUUCAAACUCUUAUGAUCAGUAAAAAUUCGGCAACGCUCACCAUCUAAAUAAUGUCUUCAAAUCUUCAAUGCAAAGACUACUGCUGCUAACUCCAAGUCUUGAGUAGGGUAAUUCGUUUCGUGCUUCUUCAACUGCCGGGAAGCAUAAGCUAUUACCUUCUGGUCCUGCAUCAACACACACCCUAAUCCCAACUUAGAUGCAUCGCUAUAUACCACAAAUUCUUUUCCACUAACAGGAAGUGUUAAAACAGGAGCGGAUGUUAAUCGGUUCUUUAGCUCUUGAAAUCGAUUCUCACAAACUUCAUCCCACUCAAACUUAACUCCUUUACGAGUCAAACGAGUCAGAGGAGCUGCUAUCAAAGAAAAUCCCUAAACAAAUCUCCGAUAAUAACAGGCUAAGCCAAGAAAACUACGAAUCUCUGUAACUGUUCUUGGUUGCUCCCAUUGUAAGAUUGCCUCUAUCUUCUUGGGAUCGACAUAAAUUCCAGCUCCGGACACCACAUGUCCCAAGAAAACCACUUCCUUCAACCAGAAUUCACAUUUAGAGAACUUGGCAUAGAGUUGUCUCUCGCGCAAAGUUUGCAACACAAUGCGCAAAUGGGCAGCAUGUUCAUCAUCAUUCUUCGAAUAAACCAGGAUGUCAUCGAUGAAUACUAUCACAAACUUAUCCAAGUAUGGAUGGAACACCCUGUUCAUAAGAUCCAUAAAAACUGCCGGGGCAUUAGUCAAACCAAACGGCAUCACCAGAAACUCAUAAUGCUCAUAACGCGUCCUGAAGGCAGUCUUAGGUACAUCCUGCUCCUUAAUCCUCAACUAAUAGUACCCAGAUCUCAAAUCAAUCUUAGAGAAUACCAUAGCACCUCGUAAUUGAUCAAAAAGAUCAUCUAUCAGAGGUAAAGGGUAUUUAUUCUUGAUGGUAACUCGGUUCAGCUGACGGUAAUCGAUACACAAUCGAAGAGUCCAUCCUUCUUCUUUACAAAUAGGACUGGUGCUCCCCAAGGAGAAAUGCUGGGGCGAAUGAAACCUUUAUCCACCAAAUCUUGCAAUUGGACUUUCAGUUCCUUCAACUCUGCUGGAGCCAUUCUAUAUGGAGGAAUAAAAAUAGGUGUGGUACCCGGAAGUAAAUCAAUAGGAAACGCAAGCUCUCGAUCAAGAGGUAGUCCCGGUAAAUCAUCAAGAAAUACAUCAAGAAACUCACUUACUAUUGGGACAUCCUCUAACUAAGGUUCCCCCUUUGAAGUAUCGAUCACGUAUGCCAAAUAAGUUAGAUACCCUUUUUUCACUAAUUUCGAAGCUUUGAUGGCUGAGAUUACACAAGAUGGUAAUACUCAACGUUCCCUUACAAACACAAUCUCUUCUCCCUCUAAAUUCCGAAGAACAACUUCUUUUUGGAAACAAUCCACAUUCGCCAGAUGUGCAGUUAACCAGUCCAUACCUAAUAUUAAAUCAAAAUCCAAGAUCUCUAGAGGAAUUAAGUCACCACUAAAUUCUUCCUCACCUACCCUUACCCCAUAGUCUCUAUAACAAGUAUUUCUAAUCAAUUGUUCUCCUAGAGGGGUAUGCACUACAAUUUCUCCCUCUAAUAGUGACAGGUUUCUAUCAGCAAUUGAUGCAAAUGUCGUACUCACAUAAGAUCUAUCUGAGCUAGAAUCUAUCAAAACAUAAGCAUCUUUAUCAAAUAAAGACAUAGUACCUGUCACUGCUCCAGGUCGGACCUGUGCCUCAUCUUCUGUCACAGCAAAAACUCUUAUCGCGGUACAAGUCGGUGGUCUCGAAGGUGGAUGUGUCGGGGUAUUACUCUCCACACCGGACCGUAUGGCUACUUCCUGUCUCGGUGGUAACCCAGAAGAAUCUCUCUUCUGCAUAUCAGUGCGAGCUGGUGGAGAUGAUGCAGCUACAGUGGCUCGUCCUAACUGUGGGUAAUUACUCCUAAUAUGACCCGUUUGUCCACAUUGGAAACAUCUUGUUGUCCCUCUACAUAGCCCACUAUGAUAAUUCUCACAAUUUCUGCAUCUGUCAGAACCUCCGGAACUCUUUCCAGAACCAGUCAUAGCAGAUCUGCUAAACCUCGAAGGUCUCUGCUGUGAUGGUGGAAAUGGAGGUCGAGGAAAUGUCACGAAAACAGAAGUAGUGCUUCUUGAAGUCGUUGAGUCCUUGCCUCUUUUUACUGGCUGACUAGAAGACAUACCAGGAUUCCUCCUUUUUGCAAACUCAGUCUGAAUCCUCCUAUUCUCAGUCACGAGCUUCUCAGCCCGUAAAGCCAUCUGUACCACCUCCUUAUGUGGCUCCCUACCAGUCAUUGUCAUUCGCUCUCUAAUCUCAUUACGGAGCCCUUCCUCGAAAUAGCUGACCUGAUCCUGCUCAGAUUUCACCAGAUCCAGCACAUAUAACAUCAACUCGUUAAAACGAGUCUCGUACUCUUCUACAGUUAGAUUUCCCUAUUUCAAACUAAGAAAUUCUCUCUUCUUUUCUUUCUGAUGAAAAUAAGUGAAAUACUGACCAUCGAAUUCCCUGAGAAAAUCGGACCAUGUCUGAGGAGUAGCAGAACGGGACUUCACCGAAUUCCACCAAGUACGAGCCCUUCUCUCUAAUAAUCUCGUAGCCACCAUCAGCUUCAUGUCGUCGUCUAAUCCCAUAUCAGAAAGAGUAUCUGAAACUUGAUUAAUCCAGUCCUUUGCCACAGUGGCAUCCAACUCACCCGUGAAAGAUACACAGCCCAAUUGCCUAGCCUCCUUCAGUUUCUUGGAUAUGGAUACAUCCUGUACUGGUGGUGAAACUAAAGGAGUAGCUAGAGGCACUACAGGUGGAACUUGACCAGCCAUUGCGGCAAAGAAAGCUGCAAAUGCUUAUGCUGCCUCAGUAGGCAUGGCGGGAAUACCCGUAGGUGGCUGAGGAGAUGGAGGAUGUGGAGGACUAUCGGCCUGCUCAGCAGCAGGUGCUGCCCGAAUGGUAGAUGCAGUUGAUUCCUCCUCUACUUUAUCUGGCUGAUGACGUUGGGAAUGACCUUUUCCCCUCCAAACCAAUCUAGUGAGAGGUGGGCAUCCGCGUCGAGGAGGCAUUGUAAUCUAUAAAAGAAAAUACGAGCAAGUUUAGGUAACCUUAGGCUCUAUAUGCAGAUGCAUGCAUUCUAUUCAACUUAACCUAACUUAACUUAAUCCGGGGCCACACUGAUAUUGUAAAUUUUCAAAAUAACUUUAAAACUAAAAACUUUGAUCUUUAAAACCAAAAACUCUGAUACCAAUCGAAUUGUCAAAACCCGGUACUCCGCUCGAGCCCGUGACAACAGCCGCGGUGUCCUGGUAGACACUCAUUACUCGGAAUGUGAACCCGAAACCCCGCAAGGCUUUACUAUCAGUUUUUCUAUUCCCUUGUGAGCAACCAUUGUCAAAUAUCGUGUUCUAAAAGAUUUUAAGUUGUUUCCAACUUUAAACAAAUAAAAUAUUAAUUUUUUUAUCUUACAGGGGUAUUUUGGUCAUUUUUCUGAAAGAUUUCGAAACUGGCUAAAAUGUAAUAUGCAAGUACAAAACAGAUAAUUCAUAUUCAAAAUGAGUUUAAAAGUCUAAAAUCUUCAUUUAAAACGAAAUUAUGGUUAUUUGAAUAUAAUAAGAAAAUAAAAGAAAUAUUAAGCAAAAUAUUCUAUUUUAUGAUAAAACAAUAUUUAUAUAGUUAUACGUGAAUAAUUUUAUAGCGUAAAAGCUAAAUAAAUUAAUACAUACUUAAAUACAGUAAGCCAAAAUAUUUAAUUUAAUUUACAAUAACAAGAGGGUCCCCGAAUAAACAAAAGUAAAGAGGACUGUGAACCUACGGUUUGGAAAAUGCAGAUCCCACUGUAGUCCUCGAUGAGAUCAGCUAUCUACAGUCUAUACUGAACCUGAAAUGGGUAGAAAUGAGGGUGGUGAGAUUAUAAAAUCCCAAUGAGUAAAUAGACAUCAUCAUAAACAUCUAGAGUUGAGUACAUGGAGACAAUAAAGUAAAUCAUCAUAAACUGGGUUAUACAAUUAUAACACAUCUCGCUCAAAAUACGUAAAAAGGUUUAUGAAUCUCAUAAACAUUUAGGCUUGUGCCAUAAAUCCAUUCUCGGGGACACCUUGGCCAAGGCAUCCUACCGAGACCGCCAAGGCUAUUAAAAUUCACAUUUCACAUAAAUCAUGCUUUUGUUUGGAAAACAUAGCAAUUCCUUGGCGUUGACUGAGUUACCCAUCACGUCGUGGUUUAGCGUGAAGUGAACCCUAAACUUUACCCAGGAGAUACCCUACGCACCUCUCCGUUCGAGGUAAGAAUAUAAUGGGG